RNAcentral lists this ribosomal RNA (297 nucleotides) under Salmonella sp. 8R. RNAcentral describes it as "partial 16S ribosomal RNA". It matches the Rfam family "Bacterial small subunit ribosomal RNA", at positions 1048 to 1345 of the family's 1533-position model. The record is from RNAcentral. Lineage: Bacteria; Pseudomonadati; Pseudomonadota; Gammaproteobacteria; Enterobacterales; Enterobacteriaceae.
GCUGUCGUCAGCUCGUGUAGAGAAAUGUUGGGUUAAGUCCCGCAACGAGCGCAACCCUUAUCCUUUGUUGCCAGCGGUCAGGCCGGGAACUCAAAGGAGACUGCCAGUGAUAAACUGGAGGAAGGUGGGGAUGACGUCAAGUCAUCAUGGCCCUUACGACCAGGGCUACACACGUGCUACAAUGGCGCAUACAAAGAGAAGCGACCUCGCGAGAGCAAGCGGACCUCAUAAAGUGCGUCGUAGUCCGGAUUGGAGUCUGCAACUCGACUCCAUGAAGUCGGAAUCGCUAGUAAUCGU